UACGGAGGGUGCAAACGUUGCUCGGAAUCAUUGGGCGUAAAGCGCGCGUAGGCGGCUUUGCAAGUUGGGGGUGAAAUCCCGGGGCUCAACCUCGGAAUUGCCUUCAAGACUGCUUGGCUCGAGUCCGGGAGAGGUGAGUGGAAUUCCCAGUGUAGAGGUGAAAUUCGUAGAGAUUGGGAAGAACACCAGUGGCGAAGGCGGCUCACUGGCCCGCAACUGACGCUGAGGCGCGAAAGCGUGGGGAGCAAACAGG
RNAcentral lists this ribosomal RNA (253 nucleotides) under uncultured bacterium. Its description in RNAcentral is "partial 16S ribosomal RNA". It matches the Rfam family "Bacterial small subunit ribosomal RNA", at positions 524 to 776 of the family's 1533-position model. The record is from RNAcentral.